This is a long non-coding RNA of Aedes albopictus (Asian tiger mosquito), 323 nucleotides long. RefSeq lists it as uncharacterized. The record is from RefSeq and is a predicted model, not a curated record. The transcript has 3 exons. NCBI's taxonomy places the organism in Eukaryota, Metazoa, Arthropoda, Insecta, Diptera, Culicidae.
UCCAACUACACGAAAGCUCUACCUUGUUUCACCCGCCAUCUUUGAACCAACCGUUGAAAGUCAUAUUGUAAUAGCACAGUCCAGGUCGUUGAUAAUAGGUGUGUCCAGUACAGUGUCCCAAAACCAAAAAUUAAAUAACUAUUUCAAAACCUAGGCAUACAAGAAGCACGCAAUGAUACUCUCGGCAUUACCAAAUGUAACGAAGAACGACAGACAGUUUUACCCUUGAAAAAGGCCAAAUACACUAGGCCGAAACGUCGGGCAAUACAAAACCAGUCGUUUUGAAUUUCCCUAGACUGAGAAAGCCAGUUUGAAAUCACUAU